UACAGAGGGUGCGAGCGUUGUCCGGAAUCACUGGGCGUAAAGGGCGCGUAGGUGGUGGCUUAAGCGUGCGGUGAAAGCUCGGGGCUCAACCCCGAGUCGGCCGUGCGAACUGGGCUCACUGGAGCAUAGUAGAGGCAGGUGGAAUUCCGGGUGUAGCGGUGGAAUGCGUAGAGAUCCGGAAGAACACCGGUGGCGAAGGCGGGUCUCUGGGCAGUAACUGACGCUGAGGAGCGAAAGCAUGGGGAGCGAAC
This 251-nucleotide ribosomal RNA is filed under the name uncultured bacterium. Its description in RNAcentral is "partial 16S ribosomal RNA". It matches the Rfam family "Bacterial small subunit ribosomal RNA", at positions 524 to 773 of the family's 1533-position model. The record is from RNAcentral.